This 457-nucleotide long non-coding RNA is filed under the name Physcomitrium patens. RNAcentral's name for it is "long non-coding RNA (PPAT_LNC007077)". The record is from RNAcentral. Lineage: Eukaryota; Viridiplantae; Streptophyta; Bryopsida; Funariales; Funariaceae.
AAACUUUAAUUAAACCUUAAUCAAAUUCUAGAUCAAAUCUUAAUAAAAUUCUAAUAAAAUCCUAAAUCCUAGAGAAAUCCUAGGAAAAUCCUAAUCAAUUUCUAGUCAAGUUCUAAACCAAAUCCCAAGAAAAUCCUAAUCCUAAUAAAAUCCUAGACCAAAUCCUAAGCCUUUAUCAAAUUGUAGAUAAAUCCUAAAUCAAAUUCUAUAGUAAAAUAGAAUCUCAACAAUUAAUGAUCAAAUUAUUGAUAUCAACUAAAAAUUUUUACACCUCUUAAUAUCUUAGUUAAAAACAAGUAUAAUAAAGAUGAAAUCAAUUGCACUUAUUAAUUGAAAGAAAUGUAAGAUAAUCCAAUCAAGUGUUGGACAGCCUCCUAUUUCAAUUUAAAUGCUGAACUUCUAGUACUAAUAUCUCAUUCUUGAACUAUUGAAUUACUUACAAAUUUCAAUUAAAUAU